GGGUGUAUUACUGGGCAUAUACUCCUUUGGCAGUAGUUUUUUUUCUUAAUUCUACUGCCAAGGGAGAUUUGCCCAGCAAUUCAUCU
This is a non-coding RNA of Helianthus annuus (common sunflower), 86 nucleotides long. Lineage: Eukaryota; Viridiplantae; Streptophyta; Magnoliopsida; Asterales; Asteraceae. The record is from Rfam.